GGGUCAGUAGGUUGGUCGUGCCACCGGUACGUACUGGUCUCACUGGUUCCUCCUUCCUGAAGAACCGUAAUGCCAUUAAUUUGGUGUUGCGGGGAAACAGGACUGUUACUUUGAGAAAAUUAGAGUGUUUAAAGCAAGCUAACGCUUGAAUACAUUAGCAUGGAAUAAUGAAAUAGGACGAUCGAUCCUAUUUUGUUGGUUUCUAGGAUUGACGUA
RNAcentral lists this ribosomal RNA (216 nucleotides) under Glomeromycotina sp. RNAcentral's name for it is "partial small subunit ribosomal RNA". The stretch from base 47 to 216 matches the Rfam family "Eukaryotic small subunit ribosomal RNA", at positions 693 to 864 of the family's 1831-position model. Lineage: Eukaryota; Fungi; Glomeromycota. The record is from RNAcentral.